AUCAUGCAUUGCGGCUGGACAAGUUUACUAUCACACCAUUCAACUAAAUAUAUGAUAGGGAAUUUUGACUUGUAAUUUGAAAUCAAGUUCCUAUCACCAUUCUUUUCUCGCCCUAUUUUCAGGGAAAGUGAGAGACCAUAUCUUCCCAGGAGAACUCCCCUAUAUUUGUAUAAGAAUAUGAAAAUUCCCAAUUACUUCUCUUGUAUUACAAAAGGCUGGCUCCAAGAUAAGUGAAUAACAAUAUAAUUGUUGUUUUAUAUUUGAAAGACUUGUAAGCAAACAGAACACCUUCAGAACAAUGCCAACAGGAA
Molecule: unclassified non-coding RNA, 311 nt
Filed under: Hevea brasiliensis (rubber tree)
Lineage: Eukaryota; Viridiplantae; Streptophyta; Magnoliopsida; Malpighiales; Euphorbiaceae
Source: RNAcentral